CGAUCUGGCUCAGGAUGAACGCUAGCGGCAGGCUUAACACAUGCAAGUCGAGGGGCAGCGGGAUGUAGCAAUACAUUGCCGGCGACCGGCGGAUGGGUGCGUAACGCGUAUGCAACCUACCUUAUACAGGGGAAUAACCUUUCGAAAGGGAGACUAACACCCCAUAGUAUUGAUUUAAGGCAUCUUAGAUUAAUUAAAUAUUUAUAGGUAUAAGAUGGGCAUGCGUAUGAUUAGCUAGUUGGUAAGGUAACGGCUUACCAAGGCGACGAUCAUUAGGGGUUCUGAGAGGAAGGUCCCCCCACACUGGUACUGAGACACGGACCAGACUCCUACGGGAGGCAGCAGUGAGGAAUAUUGGUCAAUGGGCGCAAGCCUGAACCAGCCAUGCCGCGUGCAGGAAAGACGGCCUUAUGGGUUGUAAACUGCUUUUACAUAAGACUAACCGUAUAUUUGCGAAUAUACCUGAAUGUAUUAUGAGAAUAAGGAUCGGCUAACUCCGUGCCAGCAGCCGC
RNAcentral lists this ribosomal RNA (512 nucleotides) under uncultured bacterium. RNAcentral describes it as "bacterial SSU rRNA". It matches the Rfam family "Bacterial small subunit ribosomal RNA", at positions 14 to 518 of the family's 1533-position model. The record is from RNAcentral.